ACCGGCAGCUCAAGUGGUGGCCAUUUUUAUUGGGCCUAAAGCGUUCGUAGCCGGUUUGAUAAGUCUCUGGUGAAAUCCCGCAGCUUAACUGUGGGACUUGCUGGAGAUACUAUUAGACUUGAGGUCGGGAGAGGUUAGGGGUACUCCCAGGUGAGGGGUAAAACCAUAAAACCCGGGGAGGACCGCCUGUGGCGAAGGCGCCUAACUGGAACGAACCUGACGGUGAGUAACGAAAGCCAGGGGCGCGAACCG
RNAcentral lists this ribosomal RNA (252 nucleotides) under uncultured prokaryote. RNAcentral's name for it is "partial 16S rRNA". It matches the Rfam family "Archaeal small subunit ribosomal RNA", at positions 475 to 726 of the family's 1478-position model. The record is from RNAcentral.